RNAcentral lists this ribosomal RNA (252 nucleotides) under uncultured microorganism. RNAcentral describes it as "partial small subunit ribosomal RNA". It matches the Rfam family "Bacterial small subunit ribosomal RNA", at positions 524 to 776 of the family's 1533-position model. The record is from RNAcentral.
UACGUAGGGAGCGAGCGUUAUCCGGAUUCAUUGGGCGUAAAGCGCGCGUAGGCGGCUCGCCAAGCGGGGUCUCAAACCCGGGGGCUCAACCUCCGGCCCGACCCCGAACCGGCGGGCUCGAGUUCGGUAGAGGAAGACGGAAUUCCCGGUGUAGCGGUGAAAUGCGCAGAUAUCGGGAAGAACACCGAUGGCGAAGGCAGUCUUCUGGGCCGACACUGACGCUGAGGUGCGAAAGCUAGGGGAGCGAACAGG